AGGGACCUGGGGAGUGGGAGCAGC
RNAcentral lists this unclassified non-coding RNA (24 nucleotides) under Mus musculus (house mouse). RNAcentral describes it as "oocyte_clustered_small_RNA5716". Lineage: Eukaryota; Metazoa; Chordata; Mammalia; Rodentia; Muridae. The record is from RNAcentral.